Malus domestica (apple) is the source of this 4923-nucleotide RNA transcript. RefSeq lists it as uncharacterized. The record is from RefSeq and is a predicted model, not a curated record. NCBI's taxonomy places the organism in Eukaryota, Viridiplantae, Streptophyta, Magnoliopsida, Rosales, Rosaceae.
UUUGAAUAUUCCAAAGUAAAAAUUUUGGGUUGGGAGGGAGAGGGAGGGAGGGAAGGUCCAGGAGGGCGAUCCCUCAACCCAUAAUUUUUUCAAAUCUAAAGGCUAAAUCUUUCUUCUCAGCGCAAUAUGGCAUUUCAUGUCGCCUGCCCAAUUACUUGCCGGCGAAUCUGCGACUGUGCGUUAGGGUUUCCGCGAACCCUCGCCACCGGCAAUGCCAAGGCCUCGUUCCUCGAAGACGUGCUUCGAGUUCACGACUUUCUCAUCGAUCCCUCCGGAAUUAGGGCUCGCGAUGAUGGCAAAACGGUCCAGGUCGCCGUUCCGAAGGUCGCCCCGCCGCCGCCGCCGCUUCCCCAGCCGGUUAUGUCUUCUGCCGUCGGAGAUAGUUACGCCGCUGCCGUUGUUGACGAUGAGUCCGCCGCCGCCGCCUCCUCCCAGGCCAAGCGUGCCGCGCUCCAGCGCAAGGCUGCUGCGGAUAUGGUGGCGGCUGAGGACUUUGCUCGGCGAUUCGAGUCUGGUUAUUUGUCGGACACCUCAAGAGGUGGUGUGGGUGAAGAGCAGGCUCAGUCCAAUGUGAAUGUUAUGUGCCGGAUAUGCUUUUGUGGUGAAAAUGAAGGAAGUGAGAGAGCAAGAAAAAUGCUUCCAUGCAAAACUUGUGGCAAGAAGUACCACAGGAACUGCGUAAAAGUUUGGUCUAAACACAGAGAUCUAUUUCAUUGGAGUUCAUGGACGUGCCCCCUGUGCCGAAUUUGUGAGGUAUGCCGAAGAACUGGAGAUCCAAAUAAGCUUAUGUUCUGCAAAAGGUGUGAUGGCGCCUACCAUUGUUACUGCCAACAUCCUUCACACAAGAAUGUUUCUCCUGGACCUUAUGUGUGCCCGAAACAUACACAGUGUCACAGCUGCGGGUCAAAAGUCCCCGGAAAUGGCUUGAGCGUGAGAUGGUUUCUGGGAUACACUUGUUGUGAUGCGUGUGGAAGAUUAUUUGUGAAGGGGAACUAUUGUCCUGUGUGCUUGAAGGUUUAUAGAGAUUCAGAAUCAACACCAAUGGUUUGCUGUGAUCUUUGCCAGCGCUGGGUGCAUUGUCAUUGUGAUGGAAUCAGUGAUGAGAGAUAUCAGCUGUAUCAGUUAGAUGGAAAUCUUGAGUACAAAUGUGCUACAUGUCGUGGAGAAUGCUACCAGGUCAAGAAUAAUGAGGAUGCUGUGGUAGAGCUUUGGAGGAGAAAAGACGAAGCGGAGCAAGAUUUAAUUUUUAGCUUGAGGGUUGCUGCAGGGUUGCCAACUCAAGAAGAAAUAUUUUCUAUUUCACCCUAUUCCGAUGAUGAAGAAAACAGCCCUCAAUUAUUAAAGAAUGAGUAUGGGCGUCCGUUGAAAUUAUCUCUCAAGGGGUUAGUUGAUAAGUCACAAAAAAAGACCAAGGACAGUGGGAAAAAAUCUUCAAAUAAAGUGUCUGCUAAGAAAAAGGAAUACCAGGAGUUCUUUGUUGGUAAAACUGAAGUGAUUCAGAGGUCUGGAGGACAUGAUGAUCCUCAGUCCUUCGGAUCUAGCUUGGGCUAUGACAAGAAUGAUGAGAUGCAGCCCUACAAAAAUGCAGAAUUAGACUUAUAUUCUUCGCCUAUAGCUGGAAGUAUUAGCCACACCGAAGAGAUGUGCUCCGUCAAUAAGCCAGGUAUUUUGAAGCACAAGUUUGUUGAUGAGGUGAUGGCAAGUGAUGAAGAUAGGGCUUCCAAAGUCGUUCAUAUCAAGGGUAAGUCUCAUGGUCUGGAUAGUGGAGAGGAUACUGGAAAGCAUGCUGGCAAAUCAAAGCCUGUUAAAGGGAAGAAGUUAGUGAUAAAUUUUGGUGCACGGAAGAUAAAUUUGCCCAAGUCUCCAAUAUCUGAUGCUUCAACCUGUCAAAGAGAGCAAGAUUUGUUGACUUCCAAUGCCGGUGAAGAUGCCAGCCAGCAGAGAGCACCUGUUAUGGUGGAUAGACAUGAUGGUUCGGUUAAUGCUAAAGAUAAAAGUGAUUAUUCUAGCCCUUUGAAAGUUCCAAAGGUUUCUGGGAGAGAAGGAAACUUUAUAAAGUUGGGAAAAGUUAGGUCUGGAGCUUCUGAUCAUAACCCCAAAUUUGCAAGAGGGGAUAAGGCUGAUGAAUAUGAAGCCAUUCAACCUGAGCAGACACCUGUUUCGUUUGGAAAAGGCAUUGAAGGAGGCACGACUGCAGCUGUGCCUGUAGGUGAAGUCCCGACUUUAAGAAAUGACAGGGUAUAUUCCCGGAAGCAUUCACAUAGCAGGUCUAAUAUACGUACUGAAACCAAUGAUUCUUACGCUCAGACACCCGUGUCACAUUCUUCGUCAAAAGAUGCCAAACCUCCGUCAUUGAAGUUUAAGCUCAAGAAGCCUAAUAUUGAAAAUCAGAAUUCUUCUCAUCAUGAGGAAGAAAAAAGUUACGUCAAGGGCCAGCGGUCAAAAAGAAAGAGAGCAUCACCGUUUAUGGAGAAGACAUCAUUUGGUGAGAAUGAUGACAAGACACAAUCAGUUCAGGAUAAUGUAAUGGAUGAGAUGGAUGUUAACUGGAUAUUGAAAAAAUUGGGCAGAGAUGCAAUUGGAAAGCGAGUUGAAGUUCAGCAGCUAUCUGACAAUUCAUGGCAUAAGGGAGUGGUUAGCGAUGUUAUUGAAGGCAUGUCAACAUUAUCUGUUACUUUAGAUGAUGGCAAAGUCAAAUCUCUGGAACUCGGGAAGCAAGGGGUUCGAUUUGUAUCUCAAAAGCAUAAGAGGCCAAGAACAUGAGGGCUGUACGUACACACAACUUGAUGUUUGUGUUGAUCUCAUCUGUAGGCUUUCUUCCAGAUUAAGAUGGAAAGGAAGUUGUCUGCCUCUGAAAAGGCGGAAGAGAUAACAUGUUGUAGCAUAUCCAUUGGCUUGUAUCUGUGCUCACAUUCUUUCGGACUUGAGACUGGAUUGUAUGUGCAGGGCUGUUCAGUUUCAUCGGUCGUGAAGAAUGGGUUCUGGUGAACCGGGGUAAAUUCUGAGAUGUGUUUUACCAUCUUUGAAAGUAUGAAUGCUUCCGGCAUUACUUUGAUGACUGAAAUUUGUUCAGCAAUUAGAAAGCAUCCCAUCCUCAAGUCAUUGUUCGUGCAGAUCGGGGUGCCUCGUAACUGACUACGCCCGAGCAGGAGUCGAUUUUGGUGGCACCAUCAAUUAGUUGUGAAACUGUAAAUCCCACGCCUGACGAACUUGAUAAGUUCUGGAAACUUGCAGGGGUGAACGGCGAAAUCGAGACUACUUCAAACGAGGUUAGAAUAAAGAUGAAUGAAGGAGGGUUGUGCUUGCUUUUCUGUGGAAUAUUUCGCAUCCUAAAGUUCCUUAGAAGGAGGGGCAAUACAAGUUGAAAAUGUUAAGUGGAUAACUUUGGGUCUGUGAUCCCAAACACAGGAUCACAGACCCGGUACGAUAACUCAGGGACCCCGAACCAAAGUUUUGCAUGAGAGACCUUGAACCCUGCUACCAAGUUUACCGGAUAGCGAGUUUGAUAAACAGUACAAAUUUUCAACAAGAAACUCCGUUCCAAAGCAGUAUUCGCAAUCAUUUCUCAACUAUGAAGUAUGAAGAUGAAGUAAUGUAACUAAGAAACUAACGUGAGAGUGAUUUCUUUCGAAAACCUUUCGACAGAUUAAACUAUACAGGUGGAGGUGGCAAGUCCAGCAGAAGCCAAAAUCCGACACAAUCAUCACCGUCCAAGUCCCCCUGGAUUGCAAGGAAGUGCAAGCCUCCACAAUCCUUCUUUGCUGCUUCCCAAGCUUCGGCUUCACUUCUUGUUUCAGGAGUUUUAUUGUAGGUGGCGUAAAUAUAUCGGCCAGAGAUCCCGACAGAAAGUAGCAAGCGUGCCCGUGACAAAUCGACUUCAAUAGAGCAAACUUCCAACCCAUUCAUCCAAGCUGCAGCACCAUAUAGCAAGAUGUGAUCAGAUCCUUGAUUGUUAGAGGAACAACACAAAAUUGUACAAGACGCAAUAGGAAUGAGAGCGGACUUAUGGAAAAUGUAUCACAAGAAGAUACUGUUAUCUUGUCGAUCCACUCGCCCAACAGUUCAUAUUAGCAAUCCAAUGACACAAAACGCUAUCUGUGUAUCGAUAUGUGCAAGUAAAUAUGCAUAAGAAGAAAGAAGACGACAGUCCGAGAGAAUAAACACCUGCUAGCGGUUUUGCACGUGAAGAUGCAACAGCCAAUCCUGGAAUCAAUGUCUUCUCGUCAAUUUCAAUCCCCAACAAAUCCAGAUCUAGACUUGCGCCAAACACGAGGUUCGUGUCUAAGGAUGAGAUUUCCUCUUGAACAGCUGAAACAGGAAGUAGAAUUAGCAAGGGCACAUGAAAUGUUACUGGAAGAAUAAGGCAGGUCAGAGAAUGUGACUUGUUAUAUUUGUUGAAACGUCGCUAUUAGCAAGUUCUUUACCUGAAAAGGGCAACUGAACAAAGGCCCAUUUCUCGCCAACAAGAUUUUCCGGAAGUUCCAUUGGGAAAGGGUUAUCCAAUGCCAGGAGCGGCUUAGAUCCUUUCUGGAAACCAGGAUGGCGUGUGUAUACUGUCUCGUAGCGUUCUUCCAACCACAAAAGCAGCGAUAGGCACUGAAAAAAGCAAUGUUUUAAGACAAUAAGCAGACAGAGAGAAGCAGUUGCACCAGAAACUCAAAGAAAAAGCUUCAUUGCUAACUGAUGACAGUGUUUCAAAGUCAUGCAACUUCUGCAUCUGCGGUAGCAUCGCGAUAGUUCAAUGUCACAUACUUCUGUACAGUACAACCGUGUUUAUUUCCGGUGAUAAUUUACGUAACAGAAAACAACCAACCACAAUUUUCCAAAACAGAAAUCUUUAACUCUGUAGUGGCCCUCUAAAUUCUCUAGGCUAUUAGCUUAACUUUCUUAAGUUACUUGAUCAGUUGUGUGGUUGAAAACCUG